RNAcentral lists this ribosomal RNA (406 nucleotides) under uncultured bacterium. Its description in RNAcentral is "partial 16S ribosomal RNA". It matches the Rfam family "Bacterial small subunit ribosomal RNA", at positions 30 to 526 of the family's 1533-position model. The record is from RNAcentral.
AUUGAACGCUGGCGGCAGGCCUAACACAUGCAAGUCGAGCAAGUGGCGGACGGGUGAGUAAUGUCUGGGAAACUGCCUGAUGGAGGGGGAUAACUACUGGAAACGGUAGCUAAUACCGCAUACCAUCGGAUGUGCCCAUAUGGGAUUAGCUAGUAGGUGGGGUAACGGCUCACCAAGGCGACGAUCCCUAGCUGGUCUGAGAGGAUGACCAGCCACACUGGAACUGAGACACGGGCCAGACUCCUACGGGAGGCAGCAGUGGGGAAUAUUGCACAAUGGGCGCAAGCCUGAUGCAGCCAUGCCGCGUGUAGGAAGAAGGCCUUAGGGUUGUAAAGUACUUUCAGCGGGGAGGCGUUACCCGCAGAAGAAGCACCGGCUAACUCCGUGCCAGCAGCCGCGGUAAUUC